This 416-nucleotide ribosomal RNA is filed under the name Actinomyces sp. 12-304. RNAcentral's name for it is "bacterial SSU rRNA". It matches the Rfam family "Bacterial small subunit ribosomal RNA", at positions 43 to 453 of the family's 1533-position model. The record is from RNAcentral. Lineage: Bacteria; Bacillati; Actinomycetota; Actinomycetes; Actinomycetales; Actinomycetaceae.
CGUGCUUAACACAUGCAAGUCGAACGAAAAUACCAAGCUUGCUUGGUUGAUUAGUGGCGAACGGGUGAGUAACACGUGAGUAACCUGCCCCUUACUUUCUGGAUAACUGCUCGAAAGGGUAGCUAAUACGGGAUAUUCUGGCCUUCCUGCAUGGGUUGGUUUGGAAAGGUUGUUUUUCUGGUGAGGGAUGGGCUCGCGGCCUAUCAGCUUGUUGGUGGGGUGAUGGCCUACCAAGGCUUUGACGGGUAGCCGGCCUGAGAGGGUGGACGGUCACACUGGGACUGAGAUACGGCCCAGACUCCUACGGGAGGCAGCAGUGGGGAAUAUUGCACAAUGGGCGCAAGCCUGAUGCAGCGACGCCGCGUGAGGGAUGAAGGCCUUCGGGUUGUAAACCUCUUUCGUCAGGGAACAAGGCA